GAUGAACGCUGGCGGCGUGCCUAAUACAUGCAAGUCGAGCGAACGGACGAGAAGCUUGCUUCUCUGAUGUUAGCGGCGGACGGGUGAGUAACACGUGGAUAACCUACCUAUAAGACUGGGAUAACUUCGGGAAACCGGAGCUAAUACCGGAUAAUAUUUUGAACCGCAUGGUUCAAAAGUGAAAGACGGUCUUGCUGUCACUUAUAGAUGGAUCCGCGCUGCAUUAGCUAGUUGGUAAGGUAACGGCUUACCAAGGCAACGAUGCAUAGCCGACCUGAGAGGGUGAUCGGCCACACUGGAACUGAGACACGGUCCAGACCCCUACGGGAGGCAGCAGUAGGGAAUCUUCCGCAAUGGGCGAAAGCCUGACGGAGCAACGCCGCGUGAGUGAUGAAGGUCUUCGGAUCGUAAAACUCUGUUAUUAGGGAAGAACAUAUGUGUAAGUAACUGCGCACAUCUUGACGGUACCUAAUCAGAAAGCCACGGCUAACUACGUG
This 497-nucleotide ribosomal RNA is filed under the name uncultured bacterium. Its description in RNAcentral is "partial 16S ribosomal RNA". It matches the Rfam family "Bacterial small subunit ribosomal RNA", at positions 28 to 507 of the family's 1533-position model. The record is from RNAcentral.